UCUGGGAGAUGAUGUGAACAAAAGGCCGAAUUGUAUGGCCGCCGCCUGGCAGUUUGUUCUCAGAGCGCGGCGCAAUGACAAAAACUGACCGAAGCGUUUGUCUGAUCCCAGU
This 112-nucleotide small nucleolar RNA is filed under the name Nothobranchius furzeri (turquoise killifish). RNAcentral describes it as "Small nucleolar RNA SNORD89 (ENSNFUG00015008581.1)". It matches the Rfam family "Small nucleolar RNA SNORD89". From Rfam's summary of the family: snoRNA HBII-289 belongs to the family of C/D snoRNAs. Lineage: Eukaryota; Metazoa; Chordata; Actinopteri; Cyprinodontiformes; Nothobranchiidae. The record is from Rfam by way of RNAcentral.